AAGUGCAUUGCACAAUGUGCACAUUAUGCAGGCAGUGUAUCUGUGAGGUGGGUCAGUUUCUCACAACAAGAGACACUUUUGUCCGGUCACUUGUUUGACUUUGAUAACUUGGACAUCUAUCGUUGGCUGUGAUCUUCUCCUGCAGUAAAAUGGUGUUGCUGUUGAAGCCGUACAUCAGUGUCCUUCUGCUGCUUCAGUUCAGACAGCAACUAUUGGCUCAAAACAGUGGACCUAAAGGAGAGAAGGGAGAUCGAGGAGUGCAGGGACCACCAGGUUUCCCAGGACUACCUGGGCCACGUGGACACCAAGGAGACAAAGGAGACAGAGGAGAGCCAGGUUAUUUUUAAAAAUAGUUUACAGAACUUUUACAAAUGAUUGUGGAAUAGCAUUUUUUUUAAGGUGCAAUGUAUAA
Molecule: non-coding RNA, 412 nt
Organism: Misgurnus anguillicaudatus (oriental weatherfish)
Lineage: Eukaryota; Metazoa; Chordata; Actinopteri; Cypriniformes; Cobitidae
Source: RefSeq, a predicted model, not a curated record